RNAcentral lists this unclassified non-coding RNA (1519 nucleotides) under Lytechinus variegatus (green sea urchin). RNAcentral's name for it is "von Hippel-Lindau disease tumor suppressor-like, transcript variant X1". The record is from RNAcentral. Lineage: Eukaryota; Metazoa; Echinodermata; Echinoidea; Temnopleuroida; Toxopneustidae.
UGCUUAUUAUGGAAAAUGGAAAACGACCGUAAACAUCAUCGAGGCGAGAGCUGGAGUAGAGUGCUGCGUCGACGUCGUGAAAAGUUAAGAACCAUGUCGAGUUGAUGUAACACAUUGAUUACAAAUGCCAAGCUUUCUCAGCGUAGCGUCUCUGGGCAAGCUUUGUUCUAGCAAAAUCAAUUCUCCAGCAAGGAGUUAACGUUGAAUAAGAACCCGUAGGACGUCAAGAUGGGGGAUCACAACAACGAUGACCAGAGCAGGGCUCCGCCCAAUCCACUAAAAUCAAGAAGGUCAAACAUAAAAGCUUUUGUGUCGUUCAAGAACAGCACGGACAGAAUCGUGGAUGUGAUAUGGAUGAACUUUGCUGGGCAGAGACAGACGUACACAGAGAACGGUCUAGCGCCAGGGCGUCAGCUGAACAUGCACACCUUCGAGGGCCACCCGUGGAUCGUACGAGACAAGGUCACAGGAGACACGUUGGAGUUUGUUGAUCAUGGUGUCGGGAGGCUGAUCUACAUGCCAGAACCAUGGGACGGAGGAAGGUUUUACAGGGCUCCUAUCGUCAAGAUAAGAGUUCCGAUCUACAGCCUAUACGAGAGAUCGUUACAAAUCGUCAGACAGCUAAUCCACAACCAAGACAACGUUGACGAACUUGAGAUCCCUAAACAAGUCAAGUAUGAUCUCUGUCACGUGCGGGACAUCAUUCCUCAAGCUCCGUGAAAAACCAUCAUCGUACUACCUCGUUCCCGCUGUUUUGCGAUCCAUUACGAAUGCCCUGGUAGGCCCUUCGUAAGUAAUCACAAAACUUUGGGAACCAUUCAAAUAUUGUUAUGGUCAAUACGAUUGCUACAAUGAUCUGAUACGAUGACUACGAUUGCUCCAUGAAUAAGGCCACCGUGGCGUGAAUCGUGACAGUGCGAACAAGGUAUGAGAUGAUUGAAGAUCUUGAACUUACCAACCUUGAUCUAUUUGAUAGAUCGUUGCCUGCUGGAUCAGGUCUAUCAACAAAGCAUCUGAGAAAUACAGACUUCCGCGAUUAUUGGGUAAAGCGUAUGGGAAGAACACAUGUCAGGAGGAAGGGGAUUAAGGUACUAGAAAGUGUUCUCGAAGUUGCGUGAAAAUCCUACAGUGAUGGUGCUCCCUGCUGGAUCGAGUCUGUCAGGUGCGAAAAGCGUCUGAGAAACACUGAGUUCCGCGAUUGUUGGAUGAAGCGUAUGGGAAGAACACAUGUCAGGAGGAAGGGGAUUAAGGUACUAGAAAGUGUUCUCGAAGUUGCGUGAAAAUCCUACAGUGAUGGUGCUCCCUGCUGGAUCGAGUCAGGUGCGAAAAGCGUCUGAGAAACACAGAGUUCCGCGAUUGUCGGAUGAAGCGUAUGGGAAGAACACAGGUCAGCAGGAUGAGGGUUAACGUACUGGAAAGUGUUCCGGAAGUUGCGUGAAAAUCCUUCAGUGAUGUGACAUCGAAAUUACACUUCUGCCCUCACAGGGCUGAUCUCUGAAAUCAGCAGAGGGAGAGAACC